Molecule: ribosomal RNA, 787 nt
Filed under: Halomonas sp. PRLIST03
Lineage: Bacteria; Pseudomonadati; Pseudomonadota; Gammaproteobacteria; Oceanospirillales; Halomonadaceae
Description: bacterial SSU rRNA
Rfam family: Bacterial small subunit ribosomal RNA
Source: RNAcentral
GGAGAGUUUGAUCAUGGCUCAGAUUGAACGCUGGCGGCAGGCCUAACACAUGCAAGUCGACCGGUAACAGGGGUAGCUUGCUACCCGCUGACGAGCGGCGGACGGGUGAGUAAUGCAUAGGAAUCUGCCCGAUAGUGGGGGAUAACCUGGGGAAACCCAGGCUAAUACCGCAUACGUCCUACGGGAGAAAGGGGGCUUCGGCUCCCGCUAUUGGAUGAGCCUAUGUCGGAUUAGCUAGUUGGUGAGGUAAUGGCUCACCAAGGCAACGAUCCGUAGCUGGUCUGAGAGGAUGAUCAGCCACAUCGGGACUGAGACACGGCCCGAACUCCUACGGGAGGCAGCAGUGGGGAAUAUUGGACAAUGGGGGCAACCCUGAUCCAGCCAUGCCGCGUGUGUGAAGAAGGCCCUCGGGUUGUAAAGCACUUUCAGCGAGGAAGAACGCCUAUCGGUUAAUACCCGGUAGGAAAGACAUCACUCGCAGAAGAAGCACCGGCUAACCCCGUGCCAGCAGCCGCGGUAAUACGGAGGGUGCAAGCGUUAAUCGGAAUUACUGGGCGUAAAGCGCGCGUAGGUGGCUUGAUAAGCCGGUUGUGAAAGCCCCGGGCUCAACCUGGGAACGGCAUCCGGAACUGUCAGGCUAGAGUGCAGGAGAGGAAGGUAGAAUUCCCGGUGUAGCGGUGAAAUGCGUAGAGAUCGGGAGGAAUACCAGUGGCGAAGGCGGCCUUCUGGACUGACACUGACACUGAGGUGCGAAAGCGGGGGUNGCAAACAGGAUUAGAUACCCUGG